UAGGGAAUCUUCGGCAAUGGGGGGAACCCUGACCGAGCAAUGCCGCGUGAGUGAAGAAGGUUUUCGGAUCGUAAAGCUCUGUUGUUAAGGAAGAACGAGUGUGAGAAUGGAAAGUUCAUGCUGUGACGGUACUUAACCAGAAAGGGACGGCUAACUACGUGCCAGCAGCCGCGGUAAUACGUAGGUGGCAAGCGUUGUCCGGAUUUAUUGGGCGUAAAGCGAGCGCAGGCGGUCAAUUAAGUCUGAUGUGAAAGCCCCCGGCUCAACCGGGGAGGGUCAUUGGAAACUGGUUGACUUGAGUGCAGAAGAGGAGAGUGGAAUUCCAUGUGUAGCGGUGAAAUGCGUAGAUAUAUGGAGGAACACCAGUGGCGAAGGCGACUCUCUGGUCUGUAACUGACGCUGAGGCUCGAAAGCGUGGGUAGCAAACAGG
Molecule: ribosomal RNA, 430 nt
Filed under: Bacteroidota bacterium
Lineage: Bacteria; Pseudomonadati; Bacteroidota
Description: Bacteroidetes bacterium partial 16S ribosomal RNA
Rfam family: Bacterial small subunit ribosomal RNA
Source: RNAcentral